This 253-nucleotide ribosomal RNA is filed under the name uncultured bacterium. RNAcentral describes it as "partial 16S ribosomal RNA". It matches the Rfam family "Bacterial small subunit ribosomal RNA", at positions 524 to 776 of the family's 1533-position model. The record is from RNAcentral.
UACGUAGGGUGCAAGCGUUGUCCGGAAUUAUUGGGCGUAAAGAGCUCGUAGGCGGUUUGUUGCGUCGGUUGUGAAAACCUUAGGCUCAACCUCAAGCCUGCAGGCGAUACGAGUAGACUAGAGUGUUGCAGGGGAGACUGGAAUUCCUUGUGUAGCGGUGAAAUGCGCAGAUAUCAAGAGGAACACCGGUGGCGAAGGCGGGUCUCUGGGCAGCAACUGACGCUGAGGAGCGAAAGCGUGGGGAGCGAACAGG